AUGAUUAAAGAUAGCUUGCUAUUUUUAUGAAGAGCGGCGAACGGGUGAGUAACGCGUGGGAAAUCUGCCGAGUAGCGGGGGACAACGUUUGGAAACGAACGCUAAUACCGCAUAACAAUGAGAAUCGCAUGAUUCUUAUUUAAAAGAAGCAAUUGCUUCACUACUUGAUGAUCCCGCGUUGUAUUAGCUAGUUGGUAGUGUAAAGGACUACCAAGGCGAUGAUACAUAGCCGACCUGAGAGGGUGAUCGGCCACACUGGGACUGAGACACGGCCCAGACUCCUACGGGAGGCAGCAGUAGGGAAUCUUCGGCAAUGGGGGCAACCCUGACCGAGCAACGCCGCGUGAGUGAAGAAGGUUUUCGGAUCGUAAAACUCUGUUGUUA
This 384-nucleotide ribosomal RNA is filed under the name Lactococcus garvieae. RNAcentral describes it as "bacterial SSU rRNA". It matches the Rfam family "Bacterial small subunit ribosomal RNA", at positions 66 to 441 of the family's 1533-position model. Lineage: Bacteria; Bacillati; Bacillota; Bacilli; Lactobacillales; Streptococcaceae. The record is from RNAcentral.